AAUAUUGCACAAUGGAGGAAACUCUGAUGCAGCGACGCCGCGUGAACGAUGAAGGNUUNNGAGGCNUNAAGUUCUGUCCUAGGNNNNNAUAAUGACGGUCACCUAGGAGGAAGACCCGGCUAACUACGUGCCAGCACCAGCGGUAAUACGGAGGGGGCAAGCGUUGUCCGGAUUUAUUGGGUGUAAAGGGUUCGCAGGCGGCCUUUAAUGUAAGAUGUGAAAGACUACAGCUCAACUGAGGUAAUCAUUUGAAACUGAAAGGCUUGAGUUAAGGGGAGGAAAGUGGAAUUCCUAGUGUAGCGGUGAAAUGCGUAGAUAUUUAGAGGAAUACCAGUGGCGAAGGCGACUUUCUGGACUUAUACUGACGCUGAGGAACGAAAGCGUGGGGAGCAAACAGG
Molecule: ribosomal RNA, 398 nt
Filed under: uncultured bacterium
Lineage: Bacteria
Description: partial 16S ribosomal RNA
Rfam family: Bacterial small subunit ribosomal RNA
Source: RNAcentral